Molecule: long non-coding RNA, 179 nt
Organism: Sinocyclocheilus rhinocerous
Lineage: Eukaryota; Metazoa; Chordata; Actinopteri; Cypriniformes; Cyprinidae
Exons: 3
Source: RefSeq, a predicted model, not a curated record
ACUGGACUGGAAGGACAGUUUAUCAGAGUGGUACAGACGGACAUGGACUCUUCAAGAUGAUCCUUGCAAAAAGUACUAUGAGGUCCUGGUGGUGAACCCCAUUUUGCUUGUGCCUCCAACAAAGGCUAUCACGGUCACCAUAACCAGUUUCAUCACGGACCCCUUGAAGCAAAUUGGAC